This 439-nucleotide ribosomal RNA is filed under the name uncultured bacterium. RNAcentral's name for it is "partial 16S ribosomal RNA". It matches the Rfam family "Bacterial small subunit ribosomal RNA", at positions 339 to 795 of the family's 1533-position model. The record is from RNAcentral.
CUACGGGCGGCAGCAGUGAGGAAUAUUGCACAAUGGGGGGAACCCUGAUGCAGCAAUGCCGCGUGGAGGAUGACGCAUUUCGGUGUGUAAACUCCUUUUAUAUGUCAAGAAAAUGACGGUAGCAUAUGAAUAAGCACCCGCUAACUCCGUGCCAGCAGCCGCGGUAAUACGGAGGGUGCAAGCGUUACUCGGAAUCACUGGGCGUAAAGGACGCGUAGGCGGGUUGGAAAGUCAGGUGUGAAAUCCUACAGCUUAACUGUAGAACUGCACUUGAAACUUCUAAUCUAGAGUAUGGGAGGGGGAGAUGGAAUUAGUGGUGUAGGGGUAAAAUCCGUAGAUAUCACUAGGAAUACCUAAAGCGAAGGCGAUCUCCUGGAACAUUACUGACGCUAAGGCGUGAAAGCGUGGGGAGCAAACAGGAUUAGAUACCCUAGUAGUC